Molecule: ribosomal RNA, 199 nt
Filed under: uncultured bacterium
Lineage: Bacteria
Description: partial 16S ribosomal RNA
Rfam family: Bacterial small subunit ribosomal RNA
Source: RNAcentral
ACGCUCGACACCUACGGGAGGCAGCAGUCGGGAAUAUUGCGCAAUGGAGGAAACUCUGACGCAGUGACGCCGCGUAUAGGAAGAAGGUCUUCGGAUUGUAAACUAUUGUCGUUAGGGAAGAAAAAGGACAGUACCUAAGGAGGAAGCUCCGGCUAACUACGUACCAGCAGCCGCGGUAAUCUGAGCGGGCUGGCAAGGC